RNAcentral lists this unclassified non-coding RNA (203 nucleotides) under soil metagenome. RNAcentral's name for it is "partial contains 5.8S ribosomal RNA, internal transcribed spacer 2, and large subunit ribosomal RNA". The record is from RNAcentral.
AAGACUAUAGACCUGCGGAGUACCUGCGGAGGGAUCAUUACCGAGUGCGGGUCCUCUGGGCCCAACCUCCCACCCGUGUCUACCGUACCGUGUUGCUUCGGCGGGCAUCUGUCCGCCGGAGACCCCCCGAGAACGCUGUCUUGAACAAGGUUGCCGUCUGAGUGGAAUUGCAUAAUUGUUAAAACUUUUAACAAUGGAUCUCU